GGAUCAAUUUGUUGGUCGUGCCUCGGUACGUACUGGCAUUAUUGGUUUCUACCUUCUGAAGAACCUUGAUGUCAUUAAUUUGGUGUCUUGGGGAAUCAGGACUGUUACUUUGAAAAAAUUAGAGUGUUUAAAGCAGGCAUACGCUUGAAUACAUUAGCAUGGAAUAAUGAAAUAGGACGUUUGAUUCUAUUUUGUUGGUUUCUAGGAUCGACGUA
RNAcentral lists this non-coding RNA (215 nucleotides) under Glomus sp. Its description in RNAcentral is "partial small subunit ribosomal RNA". The stretch from base 46 to 215 matches the Rfam family "Eukaryotic small subunit ribosomal RNA", at positions 693 to 864 of the family's 1831-position model. RNAcentral also lists the same sequence under 2 other names. The record is from RNAcentral. Lineage: Eukaryota; Fungi; Glomeromycota; Glomeromycetes; Glomerales; Glomeraceae.